Molecule: ribosomal RNA, 449 nt
Filed under: uncultured bacterium
Lineage: Bacteria
Description: partial 16S ribosomal RNA
Rfam family: Bacterial small subunit ribosomal RNA
Source: RNAcentral
AACGAACGCUGGCGGCAGGCUUAACACAUGCAAGUCGAACGAGAUCUUCGGAUCUAGUGGCAGACGGGUGAGGAACACGUGGGAACAUCCCUUUCAGUUCGGAAUAACGUUGGGAAACUAACGCUAAUACCGGAUACGUCCUUCGGGAGAAAGAUUUAUCGCUGAAAGAUUGGCCCGCGUCUGAUUAGCUAGUUGGUGAGGUAAUGGCUCACCAAGGCUACGAUCAGUAGCUGAUCUGAGAGGAUGAUCAGCCACAUUGGGACUGAGACACGGCCCAAACUCCUACGGAAGGCAGCAGUGGGGAAUAUUGGACAAUGGGCGCAAGCCUGAUCCAGCCAUGCCGCGUGAGUGAUGAAGGCCUUCGGGUUGUAAAGCUCUUUUAUCCGGGAAGAUAAUGACUGUACCGGAAGAAUAAGCCCCGGCAAACUUCGUGCCAGCAGCCGCGGUAA